Molecule: non-coding RNA, 1722 nt
Filed under: Pongo abelii (Sumatran orangutan)
Lineage: Eukaryota; Metazoa; Chordata; Mammalia; Primates; Hominidae
Source: RNAcentral
ACAAACACACACAGGCCUGAGCUCCGGAUAUUUCUCCUGUUCUGGAGACAGUGAGAAGUGAAAGAGAAAUGGCUGCCCCUGCACCACUUACCGCAAAGGAGGCUCAAGGCUGGGGGGCCCCUCUGCCUUCCAGUGACGGCCCGUGCCACAUCCUAACCCACUCAGCAGGAGAACACAGCAGGUCCCUCCGACCGCAGUCGGCCUCUCCAGCCUGUCAUGCCUCUGGCCAUGAGGCGACCCGCUGGAGUGAUGGAUUCGGGUCCCUCCCACCCACAGGGCGAGGGGGUGCAUUGGUCUGCUUGGGCCGCUGGAACAAAAUGCCACAGCCUGGGCGAGUGACUGACAUUGCUUCCCCACUGCUCUGGAGGCUGGAGGCCGGAGAUCGAGGUCCCUGACACUAUUUCGGUGAUGCCGGAGCCCAGGAGGAGUCCACCAAGCCCCAGCGUGGCCAUAAGCACCUUCGCAGGACCACGGAGUCGCUGCAGGUGUUCAGCCCUGUUGAGAGUGGCAGUCGGUGUCGAUGGUCACAUCUCAGUAACUCAUCGUCACCAGCGAGUACCACAGAGCAGACACAACCGCGCUUCUCUGUAGAGCCUCCAGUCGAUGCUGAGAGCCACUGGGGCGUCUGACACCCAAGGGUGCAGAGACGUUCACUCAGACUAAGUCCAGAGACCGCGCCCUUUCUAAGGCCCUGACUCACAGCCACCCCAUGCUCAUUGUGCCGGAUGUUUCCACAGCCACAAAGACCGUACGUGAAGGUGAGAUGCAGCCUAGUGCAUAUGACUCACAGAAACAUGAAGCCACAGUGGACGCCUGGAUGAGACACAGAUCACCUUCCAAAUCUGAGCGUGGCCUUGGGACCAACCAGGCAGCCAGGAAGAAGGCAGAGACCAGAGGGAACCCAGGUGCCCUCAAUCCCAGCCUCCUCUAUCCCAGCCUCCUAAUCCCAGCUUCCUCCAUCCCAGCACCCCCACUCCCAGCCUCUGUGAUCCCAGCCUCCCCUAAAGCCCAGACUCUAUGAAUCCCAGCCUCUGAGGUGGGAACUGUUAGUAUCCCCACUCCAUGGACAAGAAAGCUGGGGCCUAGUGAGGCUAACAGUCUAUCCUGAUGGUGUGAGGGAGGGAUCGGCCUCUGAGGGCUGCUUCCACCCGUCUCACCAGUGGCUGCAGGCUCCAGGUGCCACUUUCCUUAAGUCUAUGUUCUUUCCAAGCAUCCUGCUGCUCCAGAAGCUCUGGAGCUGCCAGCACUGCGAGAAGCGAUGGCACUGCAUGCAGGGAAACGUUGUUAACAGCGGUGUCUGGAUGGACCAGCAGAGGGCACUCGCACCCACAGGGAAAAAUCGUGCGACCGGGCUGGUCCUCCGCCAGAAGACGCCGCUACACAAUGGAGUCUCGCUCUGUCGCCCAGGCUGGAGUGCAAUGGUGUGAUCUCGGCUCACUGCAAUCUCCGCCUCCCCAUGAGAGGUGAAGCCAGCUGGACUUCCUGGGGUCGAGUGGGGACUUGGAGAACUUUUCUGUCUAGCUAAAGAUUUGUAAAUGCACCAAUCAGUGCUGUGUCUAGCUAAAGUUUGUAAACGUACCAAUCAGCACUCUGUAAAAACGGGCCAAUCAGCACUCAGUAAAAUGGACCAAUCAGCACUCUGUAAGAUGGACCAAUCAGCAGGAUGUGGGCGGGGUCAAAUAAAAGAAUAAAAAGCUGGUAGCCGCGCGGUUAGCGGCAAAC